This 619-nucleotide long non-coding RNA is filed under the name Arachis ipaensis. Its description in RNAcentral is "long non-coding RNA (AIPA_LNC000570)". The record is from RNAcentral. Lineage: Eukaryota; Viridiplantae; Streptophyta; Magnoliopsida; Fabales; Fabaceae.
AUCUUCUCGGCUGCACUCUCCCAUUCACCCACACCCACCCAGAGAUAAGAGACACUACUUGCCCACUCCUUCUUCCUUGACCACCACUGGAGACUACUUGCCGGAGGUCGCCCACUCUUCGUCGCGUUCUUUCUCUCGCCGCUGUUCCUCGCGUUCAUCCCUCCCUCUUCGUGGUUCAGUCGUUCUCGCCGCCUCACCUUCUUGGCGUUCUCGCCGUCAGUAACGGCCCCAUCGCCGUCCUCCUUUCAGUUCCCACCGUCAGUCCGUGGUCCUCAUUUCUCGCCGCUUGCCGUCCUCGGUGGUUACCGCCUUGCCGUACUCGGUUCCUGCCGCGUCUCCGGUCUCCUUUCAUCGAAUCAGCGUGUUCUCUGCUUUAUUGUUCAGGACUUCAGGCAAUUUUUGUACGAAGAUCAUUUGAAUUUUGCGAAGAUAAUUUGAACUGUGAAUUAUGAAUAAUUGUGAAUUGGUUUUGGAUAUAAACUAAUAAUUGUUUUUUGCAGUUUCUAAGUCAGUGGCAGUGCCACCUAGGGGUGUGCAUGGGCCGGGUGAAACCGGGUUUGAUGUGACCCAGAUCCGGCCCAAAAUAUAUACUGGGCCUAUUUAUUAGACUCGAACCCGA